RNAcentral lists this ribosomal RNA (211 nucleotides) under uncultured archaeon. Its description in RNAcentral is "partial 16S ribosomal RNA". It matches the Rfam family "Archaeal small subunit ribosomal RNA", at positions 462 to 673 of the family's 1478-position model. The record is from RNAcentral.
CCGCCGCGGUAAUACCAGCUCUCCGAGUGGUGUGGAUGUUUAUUGGGCCUAAAGCAUCCGUAGCUGGCUAGGUCAGUCCCUUGUUAAAUCCACCGAAUUAAUCGUUGGAUUGCGGGGGAUACUGCUUGGCUAGGGGACGAGAGAGGCAGACGGUAUUUUCGGGGUAGGGGUGAAAUCCUAUAAUCCCGGGAAGACCACCAGUGGCGAAGGC